GAUGAACGCUGGCGGCGUGCCUAAUACAUGCAAGUCGAGCGAACAGACGAGGAGCUUGCUCCUCUGACGUUAGCGGCGGACGGGUGAGUAACACGUGGAUAACCUACCUAUAAGACUGGGAUAACUUCGGGAAACCGGAGCUAAUACCGGAUAACAUGUUGAACCGCAUGGUUUAACAGUGAAAGACGGUCUUGCUGUCACUUAUAGAUGGAUCCGCGCCGCAUUAGCUAGUUGGUAAGGUAACGGCUUACCAAGGCAACGAUGCGUAGCCGACCUGAGAGGGUGAUCGGCCACACUGGAACUGAGACACGGUCCAGACUCCUACGGGAGGCAGCAGUAGGGAAUCUUUCGCAAUGGGCGAAAGCCUGACGGAGCAACGCCGCGUGAGUGAAGAAGGCCUUCGGAUCGUAAAACUCUGUUAUUAGGGAAGAACAAAUGUGUAAGUAACUAUGCACGUCUUGACGGUACCUAAUCAGAAAGCCACGGCUAACUACGU
RNAcentral lists this ribosomal RNA (496 nucleotides) under uncultured bacterium. RNAcentral's name for it is "partial 16S ribosomal RNA". It matches the Rfam family "Bacterial small subunit ribosomal RNA", at positions 28 to 506 of the family's 1533-position model. The record is from RNAcentral.